AGCUGAAGAGCAACAGAGGAGAGAAGAGGCAGAGAGAUCAGAGCUGAAGAGCAACAGAGGAGAGAAGAGGCAGAGAGAUCAGAGCUGAAGAGCAACAGAGGAGAGAAGAGGCAGAGAGAUCAGAGCUGAAGAGCAACAGAGGAGAGAAGAGGCAGAGAGAUCAGAGCUGAAGAGCAACAGAGGAGAGAAGAGGCAGAGAGAUCAGAGCUGAAGAGCAACGGAGGAGAGAAGAGGCAGAGAGAUCAGAGCUGAAGAGCAACGGAGGAGAGAAGAGGCAGAGAGAUCAGAGCUGAAGAGCAACGGAGGAGAGAAGAGGCAGAGAGAGAUGAUGACCAGCACUGUCUUUAAAGGAGAGGACCAGACAUUCCCCACAUGGUUCCAUCCUAGAGCUACAAGACCCUAGAAUGAUGACCAG
Molecule: long non-coding RNA, 415 nt
Organism: Oncorhynchus tshawytscha (Chinook salmon)
Lineage: Eukaryota; Metazoa; Chordata; Actinopteri; Salmoniformes; Salmonidae
Source: Ensembl